ACGCUCGACACCUACGGGGCAGCAGUGGGGAAUAUUGCACAAUGGGGGAAACCCUGAUGCAGCAACGCCGCGUGAAGGAAGACGGUUUUCGGAUUGUAAACUUCUGUUCUUAGUGAAGAUAGUGACGGUAGCUAAGGAGCAAGCCACGGCUAACUACGUGCAGCAGCCGCGGUAAUCUGAGCGGGCUGGCAAGGC
RNAcentral lists this ribosomal RNA (195 nucleotides) under uncultured bacterium. RNAcentral's name for it is "partial 16S ribosomal RNA". It matches the Rfam family "Bacterial small subunit ribosomal RNA", at positions 326 to 539 of the family's 1533-position model. The record is from RNAcentral.